RNAcentral lists this long non-coding RNA (1152 nucleotides) under Bos indicus x Bos taurus (hybrid cattle). RNAcentral's name for it is "lncRNA (ENSBIXG00000028811.1)". The record is from RNAcentral. Lineage: Eukaryota; Metazoa; Chordata; Mammalia; Artiodactyla; Bovidae.
GGGGACUACCGGCGCCGAUUCGCGCCCAGGAAGAGGCAAUUCUGGCAAUCACGCGGUGACCAGUCAAUGACCAGAACGCUUCCCUGAGGCCAUACCCCAAACUGGCAGCCAAUCUCUCGCUCCAUAGCCGUCCCCACCUGGAUGUAACCAUGAAGAAACGAAGGGGUGGAGUUGGAAAAGGGACGAAGACAUUUGCCACUUAAUACCGGUGUCCACUCAGACUCGCAUGCACUGGUAAGACAGAGUGGAGCGAAUGGGGAUGGAUCCCGUGGCACCAUGAGUGCCUCCGGGGGGAACUGUGGUCGAUGCCCGACGCGGUGUAAAGGGACUCUCUGUGUUGUCACACGCCCUCUCCCAAUGGUACCUUUCAUAGUGGGUGGUUUUACCGCUACCCCUGCGUGGCGCAUCCCAGGAGAGAACUAUUUCAUCUCGCGCGCCCCUUGGUGGUGAGAAUGGGGAACAGCAUAUGUAGAUACCGGUGGACGAUUCCAGGAUAAUAGCAAAGGGUGGAAGGGCAAAGUUAGGAUGAAAACCCUAUCGAUUUCUGCAAUCUUGGACUCAGAGAAAAGUGUUCAUAAACUGAGGAUUGAUUCUCUGUAGUGACCACUAUUGUAACAGGGAUCAUUGAACGCAUUUUCUCUGUGUUGGGCAUUGUACUUGUUUGUGCUUUCUUGUUUAAUACAGAAUAGGUCUCAUGAAAGCCAGCCACAGUCCCCCAGCGGGCAGGAGAGAGAAAGCUUCGGACUGAGAUCUGAAGGCCUGGCGUGGGGAAGGCCUCUGUCGUCGAGUGCGAGUAAUACGUGAAAAGGACAACAAGACCUUCCAUUCUGUUCGGAAAGGGAUCAUCUCCAAGGGGACCCACAAACACCGCAUAGGUGUGAUAUCCUGAAUCUCAGCUGGUGGUUCCUAUCGUUGAGGUUGCUCAACACUGGGCUGCUGGUCCUAGUAGAGUGUGCAUCAUUGUGGGAACAUGGAGAAAGGCUCAAUCUUUACAGCCUGACUACGGCGAUUUUCUCAGAGUCUAUGGCUGAGGUGAGUCUGCAUACAAAGCAACCGGUCCACUUCUCUCUUGGCACCUUGCCACAUAACUCGGGAUACAGUCACAACUCCACCGUGGUCUGGUUUCUAGGCCUUUCGUUAAUCGCCCACCCC